CACUCUCCACCUCUUUCACUCUCCACCUCUUUCACUCUCCACCUCCUGUAGGUUAAAGCUCAAACUUUUGUGGAUGUGACUGAGGAGACGAGGAAAUGUGACUCAUUAUUAUUGGUUUGUUGAACAGAGGACGUGUGGACAGAGAAGAAGAGAAACUGAAGAUUGUGGAUUGUCUUUACGUCCUCAGGUGGGAGGUGGAGUCCUUGAGAUUUCUCCAUGAGGAGGUGGAGAAGUCAGGACGGUGCCUCCUGAACUUGAGAGAAGAGGAGUCAUUGCCAGCAUCUGUAUUUAAACUAACCCUUAUGUAACAGAUAAUGUCCUGUCAAUCAUCAUUUCAUUUUGUUUUCCUUAUGAACUCUUGUAAAUAUCUGAGAUUUUUUUAUUACUUAUUUGCCUAUUUUUUAUUUUUCUUGUACAUUUACAUUUAUAUAUUUAUUUGACAACGACAAACCCUCACUUUAAAAUUGAAAUGAUAUUUAUCCCGUAAUGAUUUUCUGAAAACAAACAAAAAAACAAACAAAGAAGCAAACAAACCAUUUUAAUUUGGAGACUAAUAAGUGCACAUGUUGUAACAGUGAAACAGAAACUGUUGAACAUUUGUUCUUUUAUUGUAGUUUUAUUAGAACAUUUUGUGAAUCGUUCUAAAUGUGGACGGUGAAACAUGACACAGAUUUACCUCAUGUCGCCGAUAAAGACGUAAAAUAUGGAGUCACUUUAUAAGACGACAAAGAAACUACCACAGACAAAUAAAUGUUAUUUUUAAGUGUUUUUUGUUUUUUUUGUUGUUGUUUUUUUAUUGAGAGAGAGAAUUGCUGAAUAAAUACAUUGUGUAAUUAAAACAUAA
Molecule: long non-coding RNA, 844 nt
Organism: Boleophthalmus pectinirostris (great blue-spotted mudskipper)
Lineage: Eukaryota; Metazoa; Chordata; Actinopteri; Gobiiformes; Gobiidae
Exons: 2
Source: RefSeq, a predicted model, not a curated record